Molecule: ribosomal RNA, 286 nt
Filed under: uncultured bacterium
Lineage: Bacteria
Description: partial 16S ribosomal RNA
Rfam family: Bacterial small subunit ribosomal RNA
Source: RNAcentral
GGAAAAGGAGCAAUCCGCUUUGAGAUGGCCUCGCGUCCGAUUAGCUAGUUGGUGAGGUAACGGCCCACCAAGGCGACGAUCGGUAGCCGGACUGAGAGGUUGAACGGCCACAUUGGGACUGAGACACGGCCCAGACUCCUACGGGAGGCAGCAGUGGGGAAUAUUGCACAAUGGGGGAAACCCUGAUGCAGCAACGCCGCGUGAAGGAAGACGGUUUUCGGAUUGUAAACUUCUGUUCUUAGUGAAGAUAGUGACGGUACCGUACAAGAAAGCCACGGCUAACUAC